UUUUGUCUGAUCAGCAAAGUUAAGCAAUGCUGAGCCUGGUCAGUACUUAGAUGGGUAACCACUUGAGAAUACCAAGUGCUGUAAG
This is a non-coding RNA of Acanthosepion pharaonis, 85 nucleotides long. NCBI's taxonomy places the organism in Eukaryota, Metazoa, Mollusca, Cephalopoda, Sepiida, Sepiidae. The record is from the annotation of a GenBank genome assembly.